RNAcentral lists this long non-coding RNA (527 nucleotides) under Chelydra serpentina (North American snapping turtle). RNAcentral describes it as "lncRNA (ENSCSRG00000005261.1)". The record is from RNAcentral. Lineage: Eukaryota; Metazoa; Chordata; Testudines; Chelydridae.
GGGAGCGCGAAGGGGCCUUAAAGUGGGCGUGACGGCGAAUUGCAAUGGCCGAUUGGUGUAAAGGGGGCGUUUGAGCCAGCGAGAGUGAGGCCCGGAGACUUGUUUUCCCCCCGGGCCGGAGGGGAAGCUCGUUUUCGGUGGAGUGCGUGUCACGGAGAGGCCGGGAUCGCUUUGUCCCUUGCUGCCGGAGACAAACUGCCGCUUGUCUUGUGUUUCCUCAGAGAUAGACAGAAGAUCAUCCCCAGCCGUAGCCGGAGGGAGAGUGCGGGGAGUGGGGGGGGAGGAUGUCGUGACCAAGGGCCCGAUCCAAAGCCCGGGGAACCGAAUGGGGAACCUUUCCAUCGACUUCAGCGGCCUCAGGAUCAGGCCUCGGGCAAAAUGAGGCAGGGGAUCAGCUGAUCAUACAGAGAUCAGGAAGGGGAUUCCAACAACCCAUGUGACAACACUGUCAACCUGGUGCAAUAGGGAAGGUUCCUCCUUUAAUUGGUGCCAUCAGACUUUGGCUGCUGGAAGGGACUGUGGCCUGA